CCUACGGGUGGCAGCAGUGGGGAAUAUUGCACAAUGGGGGAAAGCCUGAUGCAGCGACGCCGCGUGAGUGAUGAAGUAUUCCGGUAUGUAAAGCUCUAUCAGCAGGGGAGAUAAUGACGGUACCUGACUAAGAAGCACCGGCUAAAUACGUGCCAGCAGCCGCGGUAAAACGUAUGGAGCAAGCGUUAUCCGGAUAUACUGGGGGUAAAGGGAGCGCAGGCGGCAGGGCAAGUCUGAGGUGAAAGGCAGGGGCUCAACCCCGGGGCCGCAGUGGAAACUGGCAGGCUAGAGUGCAGGAGAGGUAAGGGGAAGUCCGGGUGUAGCGGUGAAAUGCGUAGAUAUCAGGAGGAACACCAGUGGCGAAGGCGGCUUACUGGACUGUAACUGACGUUGAGGCUCGAAAGCGUGGGGAGCAAACAGGAUUAGAUACCCGGGUAGUC
This 440-nucleotide ribosomal RNA is filed under the name uncultured bacterium. Its description in RNAcentral is "partial 16S ribosomal RNA". It matches the Rfam family "Bacterial small subunit ribosomal RNA", at positions 338 to 795 of the family's 1533-position model. The record is from RNAcentral.